GGACUACCGGGGUAUCUAAUCCUGUUUGCUCCCCAAGCUUUCGUAUCUGAGCGUCAGGCACGAGCCAGGAUACCGCCUUCGCCUCUGGUAUUCCUCCCGAUCUCUACCCAUUUCACUGGUCCACCGGGAAUUCUAUAUCCCUCUCUCGCCCUCAAGCCUGCCCGUAUCCACGGCACCCUCCCAGUUGAGCCGGGAGAUUUCACCAUAGACGCAACAGGCCGCCUGCAUACGCUUUACGCCCAGUAACUCCGGACAACGCUCGCAUCCUACGUAUUACCGCGGCUGCUGGCAC
Molecule: ribosomal RNA, 292 nt
Filed under: uncultured bacterium
Lineage: Bacteria
Description: partial 16S ribosomal RNA
Source: RNAcentral